Molecule: long non-coding RNA, 5378 nt
Organism: Pangasianodon hypophthalmus (striped catfish)
Lineage: Eukaryota; Metazoa; Chordata; Actinopteri; Siluriformes; Pangasiidae
Exons: 2
Source: RefSeq, a predicted model, not a curated record
AUGUUAUGCCUUCACCACGGGUACACUUACAUCCACUUAAAAAAAUGCAAAAACAAAACAAUUGAAGAGAUAUUGAAACUAGACACUACUGUCACUUACUUUCAGACAAUGCAAGUUCUUCUGCCUUUGUCCCUUUGCAUGCCUUGGCAGAGAAGGUGCAAAUGGUCAGUAAUUAACCUCCUGAAGUGAUUACCACACUCACUGAUUCAAAUGUUGAUGAUCAAGCUAUGCUGCCAGACUUUAAAGAUGUAUGGAUUCUGAUCUGCUUUUAAAAAACAUGAGCCCAUCUUUCAAACCUGACUUCUUAAUAAUAAAAUGUAUAGUGUACUGUGCCCCUAUUAUAUGGCAAUGUGAUGUGGCAUGAAAAGAAUAAUCUUGUCAUUCAACACUAUGCUUUUUGUGCCCUCUUGUGGGUAAAGGAAUUAAGUCACGUUAAAUGAGUAUGGAACUUUCUGGCACAUGGAACUACCACAGUUUCAUGUUCUUUUACACGUGGGAGGAAAAAAAACACCCAGAUUUACACUGUAACUUAACUGUUCAUGUCCUCAGUUAAACCAUGAUGGCCAAAAGGUUGAUCAUGUCCCAAAUUGCACACCCCAUUGCUAUGUGCUUUGAUAAAUAGUUCCACUUCAGUUCCACUACUAUGGCCUGGUAGUUAAGUUAACUAAAGUAGAUGGUGAUUAAUAAAAAUACAUGGGCACAUUAUUACAAGAAGUAAAAUGAGAAAUACCUGAUUGCAGUACUUUGUGACCCUAAAGAUUGGGGUUAUUCUUAAAAGGAGCUGAUUCUCUACUGGUAAUUUGUUGCCUUGUAUUGGUGGAAUGUUAUGUCUAGUGGAUACAACCACAAGUAAUGGAGUAAUACAAGGACCAAUAAUGCAGGAAGAUUCUACCCUGGUGUCGAUUCCAGUGUCGACUGGUUCGUGGACUGAGUGCUCAUUAUUUAUUUUUUAAAAUUGUUCUAUUUUUCUAUUUUGUUGUUCUGUCUAAUGUUCUGUUUUGAUGCUUAGGAGAGUAAUUUCCUGUUUUGAUUCUUAUUUCUUCGUGUCAAACGACAGAUGAAGCUUUCUUGUAUAAAUAUAUACAAAAUCACGACUUAAUUCUGGAGAAAAAUGCCCAGACUUCUGAGUUAAAAGAAAUGCAUUUUCUGACUUGGCUGUGCUGUUGUUUCAGAAUCGGACUAGCAAUAAAUCAUUGUAUGAAACUGACUCUUUGAAUCGACUCCAUUGUUUCUUAAACCUUUGAAAGAAAGCAGGUCGUCACUGUAAAUGAGAACUGGUUCUCAAUUGACUUACCUGGUUAAAUAAAGGUUAUUAUUAUUAUUAUUAUUAUUAUUAUUAAGAAAACCGGAAUCGACUCUAAAUUUUCUGGAAUCGAGUCAGUCGUGUGUGACACCCACCCCCACGCUCCAAAUACUGCUCCUGAACGGGGGAUACGUGUUGUACGUGACAAAAACAUGACGUGGCCAAAAACAACGUAUGGAUACAGAUAUGAGGCAUAUGUUGUGUAAUUACAGUAACCCAUUGCCUAACGUGAAUACAUGGUGCAUUAUUUAUUGUUUUGUGCACGUAGCUACUGGCGUAAUGACAUGUGUUUAUUUUUAGUUCUCUAACCCCUGAAUGUUUUAGGAUUGAUAAUGACUCAAGAUUUACGUUCCAAUAAGAAUACAACGAUAUAGGUAACGACAGUUAUUUGAGGAAUCUUUUAUUUAAUCAGCCCGGAUUUUGCCAGAACAUUCUUCCACUUUCUGAACUAAGACAAACUUGUUUUUGUUUAAAUGCCCUGCGCACGCGCACUGAUGCAAUGCAGUAAAAUGCAAAGUAGAUCCGGUCACACAAACCGGUUUAAACCGGACUGAGCUAGGUCUCUUUACCUCUGAACAGCUGCACUGCGCAUGUGACGUAAUUGCUGUUUGGAAAAUCACCAGAGUUAGUAGCAUUAGUCAUCGUUUUAUGUACUUUCCAACAAAAAGCCCCUUUAUUUCUUAUAAAACGCUUUUUAGCUUUCUAACAUACAUUUGAAAAUUCUAAACCUCUCGGCUAUUAGCACUUACGAAUGCAAUAAUUCUCAAUGCCAAGACACUCAGUUGGCCUAUAUCCAGCAUUCCGAACUUUUUGUUAUGUUAUUUAAUUUCGUACAAAGAAGAAACAGUUUUCAGUUACUAUGAUUGUCUUCUUCAUAUGCUUCUUAUAAAGAUGUAACCUCUCAGAUUCAUUACAAUAAUAAUGUAAUUAGCCAAAGAAGCGUCGCAGUGGAACUACUUUUUGCAAUACGGCGGAAGGAUUUUCCUUGUGACGAGCCGAGUCGCGUUAGUAUAUAAAGAAGAGCGAAAUCGUUCUCAUGCCACUCGUGGGCGGUGCGGUUGAGAGGUGCUGUGGUCUUGCCGGUCAUAGGAACGGCAUUGGUUUGACUUUCGUCUUUGUGUUUGCGGUUGAUUUUAUUGUGUAUUUUAGUGAAGUUCGUCAGUUAUAGUUGUCUUCCGUCUUUUUUUUUUUACUUUCUUUGAUUGUAGUUGGGCAUUUUAUGAAAUUCCUUUAUUUUGAAGAAGGUCUAGUUUACGAUUUGUCUUUUCUAACAGUACUUGACUACUCAAGCAACUGAAGAGGUUUAAACGCAAUUUUUGUAUUUCAUUACAUAGUAUCUUUUUAGAUAUUUUUUGGCUAACGAUAAUUUGGUAUACGCACUGAGUAGGUUUAUUUUACUUUUUAAUUUUCAACUAUGGAACAAAUUAUGGAUAAGAGAGUUGUUUUAUUAACUCCAGUAAACAUAGUUAUUAAUAUAGACGUUAAUAAUAUAGUGGAGAUUACAUGAGGCUAGAGAUAGGAGCAAGAAAGCUCCAGGUCAAACUGCGCAACUAGCGAGUUUGUGGCGUAGACAAAAUGGCGCAGCUGUUAAACAGCAAAAUGGCCGCCGUUAAAGACGAGCUAUUUUUAAAGCAAGCUGUUUGUGCCAGUUGCUGGUUAGCUUGUUGAGAACUUGUAACGACAUGUUCUGUUUUCUACAAUUUUUAUACGAGUCAUUUGUAAAAACCUGUUGACGUUACUUCAUGACUAGUGUCUUCAGUCUCUGUUAAAACCAAGAUCAUUUUAGCCAAUUUGCUAACGUGAGCGUAAUUACGCUUCAAAAAAAGGCUAUUUUGCCAAUUGAUUUGAAUUUUUUAUUUUGGGAUUUUUUUGGAAAUAAACAAUGUGAAUAUGCAGUAGAAGCUAUUAGUUUUCGAUGGGCAUUAUAUUAGAGUUUGUCAAAAGGAAAAAAGGACUGCUGAUAGAUCGUCAAUCCUGAUUUUUUUCCCCGCAAUGUCUGUUGGCGGCUACAAGUUUGUUUUUCUUUUUUUUUUUUUUUUUUUAUAAUUUGGCUGAAUGGACUGAGUUUAUACUAAGGACUUAGCCAAUUAGCUGUAACCACGGAAAGAAGAUCUCGGGAUCAGAGGGAGGCGUGAGGACCAGACGAGAGCCAGGCGAGGAUCAGGAGAGCUCAGGCCAGGUUGGAGAAGAGGCGAGCGGGGAAGAGAAGAGGGGCAAGGCGGUGGUCCAGAGAGGAAAAGAGAUCAAGACAGAGUAGCGACAGCAUCACAGGCGGCCACAAGAGGGAGCACAGCCGGUCUAGACCAGACGAAGCCAAUGACAGCAGAUACAGCGCUGAGGGAGGGAGAGGGAGGUGCAGGGUCAUCUACAUAGCAUCUUAAAGCCAUUAGAAGAGGGAGUUUGGUUUGUAUAAAGGGUAUAGGUAUCUGUACAAAUUUAGAAUUCAAGCUUUUUUCUCCUUCAGGUUUUUGUAGAAUGCACUUGCUCGCAAAGCUUUGUUCUUUCUUUCCAGACGAGGUGUAUGAGUGUGUGAAAUUCACCAUCAGUGUGUGAGCCGCCCUGUUGUUGAUCAAGUUGGGUUUCUGCCGAGAUGAGUGCCAGUAAUCAACGAUGCACCCAUGCGCCGUUCAGAUGUAGUCUCCUGGGAGAAAAGGCGUCUCUGUCCUUACAAUCCAAUAGGUCUGAUCCAAGGUGCAAGCUACGUGAAGGGUUGUUUGGAGUUGAAGUUCCUCUGCGUCGCUACACUGCUACACAUCGUCUGCUACUCCAGUCACAUCUAUAUUCUUCGUGUUUUCAGUGCUGAGGCCAUUGUGUAUCGUUUGCUGGUAAACUUGAUCUCCCUAAGUUUAUGCAUGAUUAAAAAAAAAAACCCCAAAAAACUUUGAAAGCGCGUAUAAUUAAAAGGGAGUAACUAUUCCCUUGUAGAAUUUUGAUGUAGACUUUGCAAAUGCAGUCUAUAGUCAUUUAUUGUAACAUAAGAACAUUGUAUUGCGUCUUUGGUCUUUUGUGGGAAAUGGGGCGGGGCAACUGCGUUUGAGUUUUUUCUUCCACAGGCCCAAUCUCUUAAAGCAAUAGCGCCAAAGGCAUCCCUUGCUGUAGCACAAACCAGUGUUCUAAGCUUGUAUGCAACAAAGUAAUGGUGUAAGGACACAAGUGAAUCCUCUGCUUUGGUUGGAUUUAGUAAGGUACUAUAUAUUGGCUUUCUGUCUCUCUUCAUACUUUGCCAGACAAUUUUAUUCAUUUUUUUGUACACAUCUUUGUGUAUUUGGGAUGUAAUUGUUUUGGGGGGUGGAGGGGGGGUGCGUUAACUGAAAUCUCUUCCUAGCCUUUGCAGCUUUUCAGAGAGGCUUAGUUAGAGAACUGUGAAUAACACUGUAUGGGGAAGGAACCUGCAGUCUGUGGAUGUGACCCUUCAAGGCAGCUAGCCCAAGGCAUGAGACGAAGGAAGGAACCCAAAGGCGGCAAAGAAAUACAAGUCGUUUCGUAAGAUGGCACAUUGUCAGGAUUGUGUUGAAUGUGUACCCAUUCCGUUCAUGGAUAUUGAGUCGUGGGGUAAUGGGGCCGGGGACUGCUUAAUUGUGACUCUUGCAGAUUUAGUGACCCAACCCCUCAAAACCAGUGGUUCAGCUGCUAACUAUUCCCCCUCGCAAGGAGCAAAGCUGAUGAAUACAGGCUCAGCGUGAAUUUUACCUGUUCAAACGGCAAGUAAUUGGUAUUUCUGUAAAUGAAAAUUAAUUUUGGUUUAAUUGACAUACAUUAGUGAUUGUAGUAGUAGUUUUGUAUUUGUUUGGGUUGUUUAAAUGGGUGGGGUUGGUUGUAGGCUUUUCUCCCCCCUUUUUCAGUGUGCCGUGUCCAAGUGCUUUUCAUGCUCAAGAUCUCCUGAAGAUCACACUCUAACACAUUGUGCAUCAAGGUUUGCUCUUGCAUUUGUCAGCCUCUUUUGGCCUUGUAAAGUCUCAAUGUGGCUCAUAUACUUAACAUUCAUUGUACUUGGUAAUUGUCAGUUUCUUGUGUGAAUGCUUGAAUUCUGUAAAUUACAUUCUUGGUUAAUAAAUUCAUAGUGUUGUGAUUGAAA